RNAcentral lists this ribosomal RNA (1047 nucleotides) under Triticum aestivum (bread wheat). Its description in RNAcentral is "partial small subunit ribosomal RNA". Lineage: Eukaryota; Viridiplantae; Streptophyta; Magnoliopsida; Poales; Poaceae. The record is from RNAcentral.
AUGAGCAACAUCUCUCCUUCAUUCAGCGCCCCCACCCUUCUGGCCACGUCCUCCUCCCUUCAUCAUUUCUUUCCUCUCGCUGGCACCCAGAAGGCCAAGCCUGUCCUCCCCUCUACCCGUCCCGAGCCUCCUAUGCACCGCAUCGAUAUUACCCACUUCAUCAAUUUCAAGCUAGAUCUCGCCACAAACAACUACACUCAGUGGACGUGGAAGUUCUACGCUAUCCUCACCAAAUACGACUACGCCCACCAUGUCGACCACAAGUCUGAUCCCCGUCUUCAAGAUGCCAAGUGGCGCAACGACGAUCUGACCAUUAUGUUGUGGUUCUAUGCUACCAUUUGCGAUGAGCUCUAUCAAGUGGCGAGGGAGCCGGAGAACACCGCGUAUACCGUUUGGGAUCAGUUGUACACCUUCUUCCGGGACAACCAGCCCGGAUGGGCCAUCCACAUCCGCGAAGAGUUAAGCGCCACCGAGCAAGGAGACAUGAUGGUGGCCGCCUACUACAAUCGGAUUAAGGCCCUCGCCGACGCCCUCGCCGACGCAGGUGAACCAGUCAACGAUGAGAUCUUGACAUUGCAAAUGAUCCGAGGACUCAACAACCGCUUCCAUGUGCUGGCAACUACUCUUCCCAUGCACAUGCCUUUUCCUUCCUUUAUCCAGGCUCGUUCCCUAUUGUUGCUCGAAGAAAUCAAUCUUAAUGCGCGUGACAGGGCCAAGGGAUCCUCCACCAUCACUAUUGGCACCAACACCGGCUCCAACUCCACCCCCGGUGGAAGCAACAAUGGGAAUCGAGGCGAUCACAACGCUUUUUCUAACACCUGGCCUGGACAGUCAGCACAACCACAACAACGACCCUAUAUGGGCUACUUUGCGCCAUGGGGGCGCCCUUCCCAUUGCCGAGGCAGCCGCCGCAUACUCAGUGGGCCCCUCGAAGCGUCGGCGGCGUCCUCAACCCACGCCCAUCUGUUCCAACACAGGGAUACUCGUUGCUCUACUCCAUGGCAUCCAUCUUUAUGUCGCCUCCCUUGCGGGACCAGUUCUCCGUGA